RNA transcript from Zingiber officinale, 1647 nucleotides. It is a transcript of the gene named peptidyl-prolyl cis-trans isomerase CYP38, chloroplastic-like, with no coding region annotated. The transcript has 3 exons. NCBI's taxonomy places the organism in Eukaryota, Viridiplantae, Streptophyta, Magnoliopsida, Zingiberales, Zingiberaceae. The record is from RefSeq and is a predicted model, not a curated record.
AGAGAGAAGCCUAGGGCUUCAGACAACUUCCCUUCGUGUGUCUCCUCUCUCACGCCGAACGCUGAACGCUGAACGCCGAACGCCGCCACCCCUCUCAUGCCGAACGCCGACCUCAAUCUGCCGGUCGACGUUCAUCCUCCUCCAUCUUCACCGUCGGCCUACCGGUCUCGGCCUUGUGGCGAUCUCGUAGGUAGCGCUCGAUUACCUCUACUACGUCUCCCCGUCGUGGCACGCGCGGCUGCAGCCGACGUUGUGGGUGGUGCUGGCCCUCUCUGCCACGGUGCGCGCACCCUUCUACUCGCACUGGCCCUCUCAAGAUUUCUAGCGUUAGGGCAUUGGACACGGCUGAGCGAAAUGUGAGACAAGCUUCUCGUGCUCUAGAACAAGGGAAGGCUUUGAUUCUAAAAGGUGCAUCUGAAACAAAGAAAGAGCAUGGGAAGGAAUUGCUUGAAAAGCUGGCUGUUGGGAUGCAAGAGAUUGAAGGCAUUAUCCAGCAAAGAGAUAGGGAGGCAGUGGCCCCAAAGCAGAAGGAACUCUUACAAUAUGUUGGAGGCUGAGACUUCCUGCGACAUUGCAUUUCUACAGUAUUGAAGAGGAUAUGGUGGAUGGUUUUCCCUUCGAGAUUCCAAAGGAGUACAGUAAUUUGCCUCUUUUAAAAGGAAAAGCAACUGUGGAUAUUAAGGUUAAAGUUAAGGACAAUCCCAAUGUCCAGGAUUGCGUGUUCCGCAUAGUACUUGAUAGGUACAAUGCCCCAUUUACACUGCUAAGAAUUCAGUCUGUUCAAAUUUUUUUUAUCUUAAAUUUGUUAGUUCUUUUAUUUGUCUAGAAGUUAUGUAAGUAUAUUGAAUUGAUUUAUAUUUUGAAUCUUUUUUUUUGCUAUUUCAUAUUUCAUGUCUAUUAUCUAAUAUUUGAAUUUUCUUUGUUCAUAUAUUCUUUUCUUUUCCCACAGAAUGGAUUUGCAUCAUUGCUUGAGUUAGUUUUGGGUGACAAAACUUUGACUAAGUCUGUAUCUCAACAUUGUGAAUCUAUAAACACCUACAUAGAAUAGAUACUAGUUAUCCCAGUCAGACCUUGCCAUGUGGACUACAUAAACAAUCUUACAUGUCAUCUGCAAGGUAUUUACUUUCCCUAUAUUUGUGUUUAUGUUUAGUUGAUAGUUUUAUUUAGUUGUGAAAAUUUCACAUGUCGUUUGCUUAUUCCUGUUGCCUUUCAUUAAAUAUUAAGAUUUUGGAAAUUUCACAUGCAGUGUCUUUUCAGAUAUUUUGAAUGGUAAAUAGAGGUAUUCAGAAACUCUUGCUAAACAGCUCGGACAUGGAUGAUUAUAGGAGUAGCAACUACAUGCUAUGUGGCACUACAUCCGAACCUCAAGGGUGUGACUGGAAAUUAAGGACUUCGACGAAGAACUAUUAAGAAGACUUUGGACUUUAAACGAGAAGAUGAUUAAAGCCAACGAGUAAAGAAUAUUCAAGUCAAGAGGAUAAGUAGCAUCUAUCAAGAUUCUUUAAGUUCAUGCAAUAAGAUGUAGUCGACAGGAGUAGUUUUGAGUGUCUCCUAAUUAAAAUUUCUUUGUAUGCAAGCAAUUAUGUUUGUUAUAAAAGUGUAAGGAUGAUACUUUGUAUAUUGAUUUUAGUUAUUUAUUUAAUAAUA